GGGCGCGCCUCCCCCGCCGCUCGGGCCGGCCGUAGCGGAGCCCUGCUAGCCCGGCCGCCCCCUCGUCCCUGCCCGCGAAUGCGGAAGCGGCCGCGGCCCCCCGUCCCCCAGUUCCCCCGGCGCGUUUCCUCGGUUCCCGAGGAUGGCACGCCAGGAGGCAGGGUAAACAACGGAAUUGAAGUUUUGAAGGAUGGGUAAAGACUUUCGUUAUUAUUUCCAGCAUCCCUGGUCUCGCUUGAUCGUGGCUUACUUGGUGAUCUUCUUUAACUUCUUAAUAUUUGCCGAGGACCCAGUUUCUCAUAGCCAAACAGAAGCCAAUGUUAUUGUUGUUGGAAACUGUUUUUCAUUUGUAACGAAUAAAUACCCUAGAGGAGUUGGCUGGAGGAUCCUGAAGGUGCUUCUAUGGCUACUUGCCAUUCUCAUAGGACUAAUAGCUGGCAAAUUUCUGUUCCAUCAGCGUUUGUUUGGAGGUAAAGGUAGAACUUUCUUAUGGAAGCAACUAUCCAAUGGAAUUGCAGCACGCAGAGCCAUGCACAGGGAGCUGAGAGAAACCACGUCACUGAUUAAUGAAAUAGAAGUAGCCUGGGUGGAACUUGAUGGCUGGUUAAACUAUGGUAACCUUGAAAGUGAAGAGUGCUUGAUCACUUGAUUCAUUUAAAACCACCUUGAUAGGAAUGGAUUAUGGUUCAAAUAAUAGGGUCAACAAUCCUAGGUGGGAGAGGAGUAUGAUUUGAGAGGACACUGAUGAAUAAAAGUAUUCCCUGCUUUGAUUUCUUUUCUCUUUUAUGAAUUCCUAACACUGGAUUAUUUCUUGAAGAUACUCUCACUGGGUUAAAGUCUUAUGCUACUUGGAGGUAUGAUGAACUAACAAGGAUAUUAAUAAUUGCCUUCAUU
Panthera uncia (snow leopard) is the source of this 894-nucleotide long non-coding RNA. RefSeq lists it as uncharacterized. The transcript is spliced from 3 exons. NCBI's taxonomy places the organism in Eukaryota, Metazoa, Chordata, Mammalia, Carnivora, Felidae. The record is from RefSeq and is a predicted model, not a curated record.